This 213-nucleotide ribosomal RNA is filed under the name Eimeria bovis. RNAcentral describes it as "partial 28S rRNA". It matches the Rfam family "Eukaryotic large subunit ribosomal RNA", at positions 1 to 205 of the family's 3401-position model. Lineage: Eukaryota; Apicomplexa; Conoidasida; Eucoccidiorida; Eimeriidae. The record is from RNAcentral.
CUAGACCUGAAAUCAGUCGAGGACACCCGCUGAAUUUAAGCAUAUUAUUAAGCGGAGGAAAAGAAAAUAACUAUGAUUCCCCUAGUAACGGCGAGUGAAGAGGGAGGUGCUCAAAGUGAAAAUCGUGGUACCUCUUAUGGUACCGCGAGUUGUAGCCUCUAGAGGCGUUACCAGUGGAGGGGCAGGUCUAAGUUUCUUGGAAACAGAACUUUC